This is a long non-coding RNA of Clupea harengus (Atlantic herring), 269 nucleotides long. The record is from Ensembl. Lineage: Eukaryota; Metazoa; Chordata; Actinopteri; Clupeiformes; Clupeidae.
AACUAGUAACUAGCAUAGCCAUAGCAACCAUCUAUUUAGAACUAGUAACUAGCAUAGCCAUAGCAACCAUCAAUUUAGAACUAGUAACUAGUAGCUCAAUGCUCGUUGCCAGGUGCCCGUCAACGGAAUUAGGUCCCAAAGUGUGGGAGAAAGAAGUAGCUCCACAAACAGGCCGAUGUGAGCAGGGGUACUUCUGCCAGGGUGGGGCCAGCAGUCUUGCCCCCCAGCCCUCCGCUGAGCUGCCCCAGAACGGACCCUGCCCAACUGGG